ACUGAGGUCUAUCCCGACAGACACUGAUCUGUAGAGUCAUGUCGUUGGAAAUGCCUCAGAGAGCAAAUCUGUAGUUUCGCUUUACCCACAUGUUCCCUGCAAUGAGCUCUGUGGGAUAUAACUGCAGGACACAU
Small nucleolar RNA from Scomber scombrus (Atlantic mackerel), 134 nucleotides. The record is from RefSeq and is a predicted model, not a curated record. Lineage: Eukaryota; Metazoa; Chordata; Actinopteri; Scombriformes; Scombridae.